UCAAAGUGAAUUUAUUCCAUAUUUCUAACUUUUUCUUCUCUUCAUAUCUAUCUCUUCACUUCCAUCAUUAUGGAUGCAAUCUGUCAGAUUUUUCUCCCUCAGUUAUCCAUAAUAAUCCCAAACAAAUCUUCAAUCCCACUCAACUCAAAUACAAAUCUAUUUUCCUAAUCAACAGUUUUUACUUCACGUCUUUUUAAUUUAAUUUGCCUUUGAGAAUUGAAGGAAAUAGAUCCCAAUAACCCACACAAACUACAGCCAUAACAAAUGGAGAACGAGGACAAGAAAUCGGCGGUUUCCAUAUGUAGGAGCGUAGGACAUGAACAUCGUCAGUUCCGUUGAGGAGUUAGACGACGGUGAUGAAAAAGGUAUGCACAGUUCUUCAUUGGACCACAGUUGUCGGCCGAUGCAACUAUGAGAGAAAUUAAAGCUGUUUACUUGAAUGAGUUGAAGGCUGAAUUUUGUUAAUACUGUGAGGUCUGGAGACAUUUUUCUCAUUUAGAUGUGUGCAUAUGAGAAUUGGAGUACUUUUUAUAGCAUAAUCUGAUUUUGUUGAAAUUGUUAUAUCACAUCAGAAAUAUAAUCACUUUUAUCAUAAUUGAGAAUGGUAUAUAAUAGUAAAUUUAUUUUUAUUUGUUUAAGAA
This is a long non-coding RNA of Mercurialis annua (annual mercury), 641 nucleotides long. RefSeq lists it as uncharacterized. The transcript is spliced from 2 exons. The record is from RefSeq and is a predicted model, not a curated record. Lineage: Eukaryota; Viridiplantae; Streptophyta; Magnoliopsida; Malpighiales; Euphorbiaceae.